GAUGAACGCUGGCGGCGUGCCUAAUACAUGCAAGUCGAGCGAACAGAUGAGGAGCUUGCUCCUCUGACGUUAGCGGCGGACGGGUGAGUAACACGUGGAUAACCUACCUAUAAGACUGGGAUAAAUUCGGGAAACCGGAGCUAAUACCGGAUAAUAUAUUGAACCGCAUGGUUCAAUAGUGAAAGACGGUUUUGCUGUCACUUAUAGAUGGAUCCGCGCCGCAUUAGCUAGUUGGUAAGGUAACGGCUUACCAAGGCAACGAUGCGUAGCCGACCUGAGAGGGUGAUCGGCCACACUGGAACUGAGACACGGUCCAGACUCCUACGGGAGGCAGCAGUAGGGAAUCUUCCGCAAUGGGCGAAAGCCUGACGGUGCAACGCCGCGUGAGUGAUGAAGGUCUUCGGAUCGUAAAACUCUGUUAUUAGGGAAGAACAAAUGAGUAAGUAACUAUGCACGUCUUGACGGUACCUAAUCAGAAAGCCACGGCUAACUACGUG
This 497-nucleotide ribosomal RNA is filed under the name uncultured bacterium. RNAcentral's name for it is "partial 16S ribosomal RNA". It matches the Rfam family "Bacterial small subunit ribosomal RNA", at positions 28 to 507 of the family's 1533-position model. The record is from RNAcentral.